GGGAAGUGGCGCAACGGUAGCGCAUCGGAUUCCAGUUUUCACUUUGUUUGGAAACACCCGAAGGUUGCGAGUUCGAAUCUCGUCUUCCUC
RNAcentral lists this transfer RNA (90 nucleotides) under Chloropicon roscoffensis. It matches the Rfam family "tRNA". Rfam says of the family: Transfer RNA (tRNA) molecules are approximately 80 nucleotides in length. Their secondary structure includes four short double-helical elements and three loops (D, anti-codon, and T loops). Lineage: Eukaryota; Viridiplantae; Chlorophyta; Chloropicophyceae; Chloropicales; Chloropicaceae. The record is from RNAcentral.